This 460-nucleotide ribosomal RNA is filed under the name uncultured bacterium. RNAcentral's name for it is "partial 16S ribosomal RNA". It matches the Rfam family "Bacterial small subunit ribosomal RNA", at positions 338 to 795 of the family's 1533-position model. The record is from RNAcentral.
CCUACGGGAGGCAGCAGUGAGGAAUAUUGGUCAAUGGCCGGAAGGCUGAACCAGCCAUGCCGCGUGAAGGUCAGUGCCCUAUGGGCUUUAAACUUCUUUUGUGCGGGAGCAAUAAUGGUCACGUGUGGCCAGACGAGAGUACCGUACGCAUAAGCAUCGGCUAACUCCGUGCCAGCAGCCGCGGUAAUACGGGGGAUGCAAGCGUUAUCCGGAUUUAUUGGGUUUAAAGGGUGCGUAGGCUGUGAGGUAAGUCAGCGGUGAAAUGCCCCGGCUCAACGGGGUGAAGUGCCAUUGAUACUGGGUUGCUGGAGUGCGGAUGCCGUGGGAGGAAUGUGUGGUGUAGCGGUGAAAUGCAUAGAUAUCACACAGAACACCGAUUGCGAAGGCAUCUCACGAAUCCGCGAUUGACGCUGAUGCACGAAAGCGUGGGUAUCAAACAGGAUUAGAUACCCCAGUAGUC